GACGAACGCUGGCGGCGUGCUUAACACAUGCAAGUCGAACGGAAAGGCCCUGCUUGCAGGGUACUCGAGUGGCGAACGGGUGAGUAACACGUGGGUGAUCUGCCCUGUACUUCGGGAUAAGCUUGGGAAACUGGGUCUAAUACCGGAUAGGAGCCAUCUUUAGUGUGGUGGUUGGAAAGUUUUUUCGGUGUAGGAUGAGCUCGCGGCCUAUCAGCUUGUUGGUGGGGUAAUGGCCUACCAAGGCGGCGACGGGUAGCCGGCCUGAGAGGGUGUACGGCCACAUUGGGACUGAGAUACGGCCCAGACUCCUACGGGAGGCAGCAGUGGGGAAUAUUGCACAAUGGGCGCAAGCCUGAUGCAGCGACGCCGCGUGGGGGAUGAAGGCCUUCGGGUUGUAAACUCCUUUCGCUAGGGACGAAGCUUUUUUGUGACGGUACCUAGAUAAGAAGCACCGGCUAACUACGUG
RNAcentral lists this ribosomal RNA (466 nucleotides) under uncultured bacterium. Its description in RNAcentral is "partial 16S ribosomal RNA". It matches the Rfam family "Bacterial small subunit ribosomal RNA", at positions 28 to 507 of the family's 1533-position model. The record is from RNAcentral.